Molecule: ribosomal RNA, 157 nt
Filed under: Cladosporium cladosporioides
Lineage: Eukaryota; Fungi; Ascomycota; Dothideomycetes; Cladosporiales; Cladosporiaceae
Description: 5.8S ribosomal RNA
Rfam family: 5.8S ribosomal RNA
About the family: 5.8S ribosomal RNA (5.8S rRNA) is a component of the large subunit of the eukaryotic ribosome. It is transcribed by RNA polymerase I as part of the 45S precursor that also contains 18S and 28S rRNA. Functionally, it is thought that 5.8S rRNA may be involved in ribosome translocation.
Source: RNAcentral
AAACUUUUAACAACGGAUCUCUUGGUUCUGGCAUCGAUGAAGAACGCAGCGAAUGCGAUAAGUAAUGUGAAUUGCAGAAUUCAGUGAAUCAUCGAAUCUUUGAACGCACAUUGCGCCCCCUGGUAUUCCGGGGGGCAUGCCUCGUUCGAGCGUCAUU